RNAcentral lists this ribosomal RNA (404 nucleotides) under uncultured bacterium. Its description in RNAcentral is "bacterial SSU rRNA". It matches the Rfam family "Bacterial small subunit ribosomal RNA", at positions 976 to 1381 of the family's 1533-position model. The record is from RNAcentral.
AUCCCUUGACAUCCUGCGAACUUUCUAGAGAUAGAUUGGUGCCUUUGGGAACGCAGUGACAGGUGCUGCAUGGCUGUCGUCAGCUCGUGUCGUGAGAUGUUGGGUUAAGUCCCGCAACGAGCGCAACCCUUAUCAUUAGUUGCUAACAUUUAGUUGAGAACUCUAAUGAGACUGCCGGUGAUAAACCGGAGGAAGGCGGGGACGACGUCAAGUCAUCAUGGCCCUUAUGGGAUGGGCUACACACGUGCUACAAUGGGGGGUACAAAGAGCAGCCAACUGGCGACAGUGCGCGAAUCUCAUAAAACCUCUCGUAGUCCGGAUCGGAGUCUGCAACUCGACUCCGUGAAGUCGGAAUCGCUAGUAAUCGUGAAUCAGAAUGUCACGGUGAAUACGUUCCCGGGCCU